UAGAAUACAAUCAGGUUUUGCUACAACCAGGUUAGGCCAGGAUGGUGGGAGCACUGGAGGAGGCUAGAAGCCACAGGAGCCCACAGGUGGCAGCUUUCAUAAUCCUACAGGUCCUGUGGUAUUCCUUGUGUUUCAGACAACUCUCAGCGCCCUGGCUAUAAGUCCAUCCUCUCUCCCACUCAUAGGUGCACAUGGGUGGAUAGGUCUAACUUUCUGUACAUAGACCAUUGACAAACUGGUAACUCAUUUGUGCCACACUUCACAACAUAUGCUCGCACCCCAGUCCAGAGUAUUGGACCAGGUGAACAGCCUCAGCAUGAGGGAGAGCCACCUGUAAGCUAAAGGGCAACAGGCCAUGCAGGGGCUGCAGGUGUUGCCAGGACCCGUAACCCGGUUUCUCCCCGCCCACCCGACCACCACCAGCAGUUUGAGACUUUCCUGAUCUACUUCAUACCUUUUUAAAAAAUCUUUAUUUUUUUAUUGAUUGCAGAGAGGAAGGGAGAGGAACAUCAAUGAUGAAAAAGAAUCAUUAAUUGGCUGCCUCCUACACACCCCCCCUACUAGGGAUUAAGCCUGCAACCCGGGCAUAUGCCCUGACCAGGAAUCAAACUAACCUCCGUGGUUCAUAGGUCAACGCUCAACCAGAGCCACGCUGGCCAGGCUGCUUCAUAUGUAUGUGUCCCAAAAGCACAAGAGGUGCUUCCACAGUUCUUCCUUACGUAGCAAUAGGUCCUGACUCAAAUAAAUUGGCUCAAAUUCCAGCUUUCUGCCAUUAAGUCAUGUGUGUCUGAUUCAUGUGGGCCAUUCUAGUCAGUCCCUUAGGACAAACAGUGAAACCAGAAGGAGUCUUUGUGCCCCAGCACACCUGAGGGGGGUUUAACCCUUUGAAUGCCAACCAAUAUCCUAGGAACUAUGCUAAAAUUGCCAAGGCAUUUUUGCUGAUUUUACAGCAGUUUGGGGAAAAAAUUAUCAAUUGCAAGUAAAUGAAGAUACAUAUUCAAAAACGUAAGGAAACCUUUACUACACUGACAUAUUUAGCAAUAUCAUCAUCACUAAUAAAAGCAGACUUAGAACUGGACGCCAUUUCGAAGCUUUGAUAGUGUUCCCGGCACUUUUGGUGAAAGGAGGAGCGCAAUCGCGCUCCCCGGCACUCUAGGGGUUAAUUUAGGCUUCUAACUCCUCAUCGCAUUCUUCUUAACCAGGAAAUUUUCAGCAACAAUCACUUUUUGGGUAAUGAGUCUCAAAGCACUCUAUUUUAUCUGUUCUUUAUCUGUACUUCAGGUCUGUAUAAUGAAUUUGUUGAACAAAUCUCCCCUUCUCUAACUUUUAUACCCAUCCUUCAAACUAAUCCUCCCAUCAAAAAACUUCUUACGUACUUUUCCAACCAAAAUUACCUAUUAAUUUCUAUUAUGCAGCACAAGUCCAGAUGAAGGCCAUGGGCCACAUAGACCAGGGAUGUUGCCACUGGUCCCAAACUCAGGCCCAAGCUUUCCAGUCAGGAAAAUGAGUCAUGACCUCUCACUGGGCUUAUAUCCUCCUCUCACCAUCCCUCUGGACCCAGAUACUGUCUACACCUUAUUUCAUUUCCCUACACCUAGUCUCAUCCCACCUAACUUAGGGCCUAGUUCAUUAUCCAUAGCAAUAGCUCACAGGGGUAUGGUGUGUGUAUAAAACUUCUAGCACUUGCCUUCAUCACUUCCUCUCCAACGCCUCCUGGGGUUAACAAUGAUCCAAUGUAAUUCUGCACAAACUUACAAGCAGAAGAUGUAAAAGGUAUGUAUCCUCUUUAUUGUGAUCUAAAAAGCUCAGGGAGUUACUCUAGGGACACACAGAAGUUUGUGGCACAGGUUUUGGUAAAGAGCAAAAUGCUCACUGGAAAAAAAUAAUUAUUAGCUAGAUAACCAGGGAGAUUUAACCCUAGCUAGCAAAUUUUUAACUCUGCAAAUACUUGGAGUCAUUAAUUACGUAUAGUUAUUUUAUUCAUAAUUUGUCAUAUUUUCGGAUACCAAAAGUUAUUCUAAUAGUUGAAUUUAACAAGAAAAAUUUAACCUCAUCUUAAAUCCGCUGAUCCAUUUCAUUCAAUGGCAAUAUUCAAUGUUAAAAGGAACAUAAAAACAACAUGCACACAAUUGUACAGUUUUCAUAAAGGUCUAUUUCAUUAUUGGUGGGUAGCGCAUUUAACAGUUAAAUACAUUAAAUAAUGUAUAGGUGACUGCAGGACUGCCGCAUUGGUAACUAGAUAACCAAUUCAACUAGAAACCAGCUAACAAGUAACUGUCUACAUACAUAUUUAAAACACAGCUCUUGUUUAGCUCAUCCUGUUUUGAUCACCUUCUUGGAGGGAGAAAAGCCUGCUGGUCACACUGGAAAUAUAUUAAGGCCAAAUCUUCUGAUAUCCAUUCCCAGAGGUUGCUUUCAGCUGGAUUAAGCCUCCAACUCCAGGGCAAGCCCCAGUUUGUGGCCACCAGCAUUAAUGCUCUUCCCAUCUACCAGAGCAGACAGCGUAAGCUUCACACCUGUAAACAGAAGCAGACAACCAGGACAUGCAUGAAACACCUCAUGAGAAUCUAGUCUUCUUUACUGUGCCAUAGCCUGCCUAUCACUUUUCCUCAGCCUGUCAGAUGACAUGUUAGUGCCAGCCACCAGAGGGCACUUGUGAAUACCUGAGCUAGCAGAAAGAAUUAUGUUGGCACCAUCCCGGGGUAAGGUAUCAAGUCACAGAACAUAAAAAUGUUAAUUAUAAAGUACAAAGUGCUCUAGAAGAUGCAAUAAUGUUCAACAUACUAUCAGACUAAAGAAAAUCAUAACUGAAUCCUAGAAAGGAAAAACUACAAUAAACAUUUUGGGAACAAGUGGGGAAAUCUGAAUAGACUACAGUACAUAUCAAAUAUUAUUAAUGUUAAUCUUCUUAGCUGUGAGAAUGGUACUGUAGUUUUAAAGAAAAAUGUCUUACACGGGCUAUACACACUAGGGCUGACGUGUCUACAUAUCUAUAAAACACACAUUUAAAUAAUUCAUAAGGGCAUGUGAAAAAAAGGAUUAUAUAUACAGACAUGGAAAGAAAA
Molecule: long non-coding RNA, 3065 nt
Organism: Myotis daubentonii (Daubenton's bat)
Lineage: Eukaryota; Metazoa; Chordata; Mammalia; Chiroptera; Vespertilionidae
Exons: 2
Source: RefSeq, a predicted model, not a curated record